UACGUAGGGUGCAAGCGUUGUCCGGAAUUAUUGGGCGUAAAGAGCUCGUAGGCGGUUUGUCGCGUCUGCUGUGAAAACUCAGGGCUUAACUCUGAGCUUGCAGUGGGUACGGGCAGACUAGAGUGCGGUAGGGGAGACUGGAAUUCCUGGUGUAGCGGUGAAAUGUGCAGAUAUCAGGAGGAACACCGGUGGCGAAGGCGGGUCUCUGGGCCGUAACUGACGCUGAGGAGCGAAAGCAUGGGGAGCGAACAGG
Molecule: ribosomal RNA, 253 nt
Filed under: uncultured bacterium
Lineage: Bacteria
Description: partial 16S ribosomal RNA
Rfam family: Bacterial small subunit ribosomal RNA
Source: RNAcentral